Pan troglodytes (chimpanzee) is the source of this 919-nucleotide long non-coding RNA. RefSeq lists it as uncharacterized. The record is from RefSeq and is a predicted model, not a curated record. The transcript is spliced from 2 exons. Lineage: Eukaryota; Metazoa; Chordata; Mammalia; Primates; Hominidae.
UCCUGGGAGAGAUGGACACAUCAACCAAUAGUAAUAGCAGGUGUGAUGGGUGUAUAUGGAGAUAUGCCCAGGGUUACGAAGAGCCUGGAAAAUAGAUGACCAACCAGCAGGCUGGGUUAGGGUGUGGUUUCAGAGAGGAAGCACUGGACUAAGACUUGAAGAAUGCAUUGGAAGAGCAAAUCAGGCAGAAAAGAGGACAGAGUCAUUUUGCUCAGAAGAAAUAGCAUGUGCAAAUGUGCCACAACCAUUCAAAUCAAGUUGCUGCUUAAGUCUUGCCCACAACUUUUCAUCUGAAAAGUGGAGUAGCUGAAGCAGCCAAUGCUGGUGGUUAUAAUUCUUGAGGAUGCAACAGUAAGAACGGAGAGGAAAUAACCCCUGAAGCCUUUGCAACUAAGGACAUGUAUCCUUCAGACAAGUGUUUACUGGGCAACUUCUUCGUGCUGUAAUUGAGUGUGGCCGAUUGCUCACAAAGAUGUUUGCAAAAUCCCUCCUGUCCCCUAACUCACUUCUCCUUGCAGUGUCACUCUGCCAACUUCUCCUGUCGAUUGGUGAAGACUGUUUCUCCUCCCCCUUGAAUAUGGGCUGGGCUUGUAACUUGCUUGACCAAUAGAAUGCAGAGAAAUGAAAUGCAGCCUUCAACAUUCAAGGCUAUGCUCAAGGAGUCUAACCCUGUGGAUAUGCUGUUGUCAAAUGAGGGAGCUUCGAUUAGCCUGUUGAAGACACACAGACGACCCGACAGGCAAUACCAACAUUCGGAUAUGCAAGUUAUGCUGUCUUAGACCAUGCUGCCCAGGUGAACUUUUAGACGACUGCAAUUUGUGAGUGACUCUAGGCAAGACCAGAAGAAACUUCUAGCUAAAUCUAAACCAAAUGUCAACUCAGAAUUGUCAGCAAAUAAAAUGGUUGUUGUUUAAAGACA